AGCAGUCGCCGCGGUAAUCCGAAGGGGGCUAGCGUUGUUCGGAAUUACUGGGCGUAAAGCGCGUGUAGGCGGGUCCUUAAGUCAGGGGUGAAAUGCCAAGGCUCAACCUUGGAACUGCCUUUGAUACUGGGGAUCUUGAGUCCGGGAGAGGUGAGUGGAACUGCGAGUGUAGAGGUGAAAUUCGUAGAUAUUCGCAAGAACACCAGUGGCGAAGGCGGCUCACUGGCCCGGAACUGACGCUGAGACGCGAAAGCGUGGGGAGCAAACAGGAUUAGAUACCCGCGUAGUCCCUGUCUCUUAUAC
Molecule: ribosomal RNA, 303 nt
Filed under: uncultured bacterium
Lineage: Bacteria
Description: partial 16S ribosomal RNA
Rfam family: Bacterial small subunit ribosomal RNA
Source: RNAcentral